RNAcentral lists this ribosomal RNA (247 nucleotides) under uncultured bacterium. Its description in RNAcentral is "partial 16S ribosomal RNA". It matches the Rfam family "Bacterial small subunit ribosomal RNA", at positions 523 to 769 of the family's 1533-position model. The record is from RNAcentral.
AUACGAAGGGGGCAAGCGUUGUUCGGAUUUACUGGGCGUAAAGGGCGCGUAGGCGGAUAUUCAAGUCAGAGGUGAAAGCCCUGGGCUCAACCCGGGAAUUGCCUUUGAAACUGGAUGUCUUGAGUAUGGGAGAGGGUGGCGGAAUACCCAGUGUAGAGGUGAAAUUCGUAGAUAUUGGGUAGAACACCAGUGGCGAAGGCGGCCACCUGGCCCAUAACUGACGCUGAGGCGCGAAAGCGUGGGGAGC